UCCCUGGUGGCUAAGAUGGUAAAGUGUUUGCCUGCAAUGCGGAGACCCAGGUUCGAUCCCUGGAUUGGGAA
RNAcentral lists this transfer RNA (71 nucleotides) under Bos taurus (domestic cattle). It matches the Rfam family "tRNA". From Rfam's summary of the family: Transfer RNA (tRNA) molecules are approximately 80 nucleotides in length. Their secondary structure includes four short double-helical elements and three loops (D, anti-codon, and T loops). The record is from Rfam by way of RNAcentral. Lineage: Eukaryota; Metazoa; Chordata; Mammalia; Artiodactyla; Bovidae. RNAcentral also lists the same sequence under 2 other names.